Molecule: ribosomal RNA, 481 nt
Filed under: uncultured bacterium
Lineage: Bacteria
Description: partial 16S ribosomal RNA
Rfam family: Bacterial small subunit ribosomal RNA
Source: RNAcentral
GAUGAACGCUGGCGGCGUGCUUAACACAUGCAAGUCGAACGAAGCAUUUGCGACAGAUUUUUUCGGAAUGAAGUUGCUUAUGACUGAGUGGCGGACGGGUGAGUAACGCGUGGGUAAUCUGCCUUGUACUGGGGGAUAGCAGCUGGAAACGGCUGGUAAUACCGCAUAAGCGCACAAUGUUGCAUGACAUGGUGUGAAAAACUCCGGUGGUAUAAGAUGGACCCGCGUCUGAUUAGCUAGUUGGUGAGAUAACAGCCCACCAAGGCGACGAUCAGUAGCCGACCUGAGAGGGUGACCGGCCACAUUGGGACUGAGACACGGCCCAGACUCCUACGGGAGGCAGCAGUGGGGAAUAUUGCACAAUGGAGGAAACUCUGAUGCAGCGACGCCGCGUGAGUGAAGAAGUAAUUCGUUAUGUAAAGCUCUAUCAGCAGGGAAGAUAGUGACGGUACCUGACUAAGAAGCUCCGGCUAAAUACGUG